GUUUUUAUAUAUAAUAAUAAUAAUAAUUAAAAAAAAGAAAAAAAAAUGUAUAACUUUUUUUUUUCUUUCACACAAAGUCUAAUUGGAAUUGUUGCAAAAAAUACCCCUCCCUUUCGGAAGAGAUUUUCCUUUUGUUAAUGAUCCUUCCGCAGGUUCACCUACGGAAA
RNAcentral lists this unclassified non-coding RNA (167 nucleotides) under uncultured fungus. Its description in RNAcentral is "sequence contains ITS1". Lineage: Eukaryota; Fungi. The record is from RNAcentral.